GCCUGGAUAGCUCACUUGGUUAGAGCGUGGUGCUGAUAACGCCAAGGUUGCAGGUUCAAUCCCUGUAUGGGGCA
Molecule: non-coding RNA, 74 nt
Organism: Podarcis lilfordi (Lilford's wall lizard)
Lineage: Eukaryota; Metazoa; Chordata; Lepidosauria; Squamata; Lacertidae
Source: the annotation of a GenBank genome assembly